GAUGAACGCUGGCGGCGUGCCUAAUACAUGCAAGUCGAGCGAACAGACGAGGAGCUUGCUCCUCUGACGUUAGCGGCGGACGGGUGAGUAACACGUGGAUAACCUACCUAUAGACUGGGAUAACUUCGGGAAACCGGAGCUAAUACCGGAUAAUAUAUUGAACCGCAUGGUUCAAUAGUGAAAGACGGUUUUGCUGUCACUUAUAGAUGGAUCCGCGCCGCAUUAGCUAGUUGGUAAGGUAACGGCUUACCAAGGCAACGAUGCGUAGCCGACCUGAGAGGGUGAUCGGCCACACUGGAACUGAGACACGGUCCAGACUCCUACGGGAGGCAGCAGUAGGGGAUCUUCCGCAAUGGGCGAAAGCCUGACGGAGCAACGCCGCGUGAGUGAUGAAGGUCUUCGGAUCGUAAAACUCUGUUAUUAGGGAAGAACAAAUGUGUAAGUAACUAUGCACGUCUUGACGGUACCUAAUCAGAAAGCCACGGCUAACUACGUG
RNAcentral lists this ribosomal RNA (496 nucleotides) under uncultured bacterium. RNAcentral's name for it is "partial 16S ribosomal RNA". It matches the Rfam family "Bacterial small subunit ribosomal RNA", at positions 28 to 507 of the family's 1533-position model. The record is from RNAcentral.